CCUACGGGAGGCAGCAGUGGGGAAUAUUGCACAAUGGGGGAAACCCUGAUGCAGCGACGCCGCGUGAGUGAAGAAGUAUUUCGGUAUGUAAAGCUCUCUCAGCAGGGAAGAUAAUGACGGUACCUGACUAAGAAGCUCCGGCUAAAUACGUGCCAGCAGCCGCGGUAAUACGUAUGGAGCAAGCGUUAUCCGGAUUUACUGGGUGUAAAGGGAGCGCAGACGGCAAGGCAAGUCUGAUGUGAAAGUCCGAGGCUCAACCUCGGGACUGCAUUGGAAACUGUCUGGCUAGAGUGCAGGAGAGGUAAGUGGAAUUCCUAGUGUAGCGGUGAAAUGCGUAGAUAUUAGGAGGAACACCAGUGGCGAAGGCGGCUUACUGGACUGUAACUGACGUUGAGGCUCG
Molecule: ribosomal RNA, 400 nt
Filed under: uncultured bacterium
Lineage: Bacteria
Description: bacterial SSU rRNA
Rfam family: Bacterial small subunit ribosomal RNA
Source: RNAcentral